RNAcentral lists this ribosomal RNA (622 nucleotides) under Burkholderia cepacia. RNAcentral's name for it is "bacterial SSU rRNA". It matches the Rfam family "Bacterial small subunit ribosomal RNA", at positions 30 to 646 of the family's 1533-position model. Lineage: Bacteria; Pseudomonadati; Pseudomonadota; Betaproteobacteria; Burkholderiales; Burkholderiaceae. The record is from RNAcentral.
UCAUCGGGUGGCAUGCCUUACACAUGCAAGUCGAACGGCAGCACGGGUGCUUGCACCUGGUGGCGAGUGGCGAACGGGUGAGUAAUACAUCGGAACAUGUCCUGUAGUGGGGGAUAGCCCGGCGAAAGCCGGAUUAAUACCGCAUACGAUCUACGGAUGAAAGCGGGGGACCUUCGGGCCUCGCGCUAUAGGGUUGGCCGAUGGCUGAUUAGCUAGUUGGUGGGGUAAAGGCCUACCAAGGCGACGAUCAGUAGCUGGUCUGAGAGGACGACCAGCCACACUGGGACUGAGACACGGCCCAGACUCCUACGGGAGGCAGCAGUGGGGAAUUUUGGACAAUGGGCGAAAGCCUGAUCCAGCAAUGCCGCGUGUGUGAAGAAGGCCUUCGGGUUGUAAAGCACUUUUGUCCGGAAAGAAAUCCUUGGCUCUAAUACAGUCGGGGGAUGACGGUACCGGAAGAAUAAGCACCGGCUAACUACGUGCCAGCAGCCGCGGUAAUACGUAGGGUGCAAGCGUUAAUCGGAAUUACUGGGCGUAAAGCGUGCGCAGGCGGUUUGCUUAGACCGAUGUGAAAUCCCCCGGGCUCAACCUGGGAACUGCAUUGGUGACUGGCAGGCUAAAA